Molecule: ribosomal RNA, 497 nt
Filed under: uncultured bacterium
Lineage: Bacteria
Description: partial 16S ribosomal RNA
Rfam family: Bacterial small subunit ribosomal RNA
Source: RNAcentral
GAUGAACGCUGGCGGCGUGCCUAAUACAUGCAAGUCGAGCGAACAGACGAGGAGCUUGCUCCUCUGACGUUAGCGGCGGACGGGUGAGUAACACGUGGAUAACCUACUUAUAAGACUGGGAUAACUUCGGGAAACCGGAGCUAAUACCGGAUAAUAUAUUGAACCGCAUGGUUCAAUAGUGAAAGACGGUUUUGCUGUCACUUAUAGAUGGAUCCGCGCCGCAUUAGCUAGUUGGUAAGGUAACGGCUUACCAAGGCAACGAUGCGUAGCCGACCUGAGAGGAUGAUCGGCCACACUGGAACUGAGACACGGUCCAGACUCCUACGGGAGGCAGCAGUAGGGAAUCUUCCGCAAUGGGCGAAAGCUUGACGGAGCAACGCCGCGUGAGUGAUGAAGGUCUUCGGAUCGUAAAACUCUGUUAUUAGGGAAGAACAAAUGUGUAAGUAACUAUGCACGUCUUGACGGUACCUAAUCAGAAAGCCACGGCUAACUACGUG